GAUGAACGCUGGCGGCGUGCUUAACACAUGCAAGUCGAACGAUGAAGCCCGGCUUGCUGGGUGGAUUAGUGGCGAACGGGUGAGUAACACGUGAGUAACCUGCCCUUAACUCUGGGAUAAGCCUGGGAAACUGGGUCUAAUACCGGAUAGGAGCGUCCACCGCAUGGUGGGUGUUGGAAAGAUUUAUCGGUUUUGGAUGGACUCGCGGCCUAUCAGCUUGUUGGUGAGGUAAUGGCUCACCAAGGCGACGACGGGUAGCCGGCCUGAGAGGGUGACCGGCCACACGAGGACUGAGACACGGCCCAGACUCCUACGGGAGGCAGCAGUGGGGAAUAUUGCACAGUGGGGGCAAGCCUGAUGCAGCGACGCCGCGUGAGGGAUGACGGCCGUCGGGUUGUAAACAUCUUUCAGUAGGGAAGAAGCGAAAGUGACGGUACCUGCAGAAGAAGCACCGGCUAACUACGUG
This 466-nucleotide ribosomal RNA is filed under the name uncultured bacterium. RNAcentral's name for it is "partial 16S ribosomal RNA". It matches the Rfam family "Bacterial small subunit ribosomal RNA", at positions 28 to 507 of the family's 1533-position model. The record is from RNAcentral.